This 520-nucleotide ribosomal RNA is filed under the name uncultured Scutellospora. Its description in RNAcentral is "SSU rRNA". It matches the Rfam family "Eukaryotic small subunit ribosomal RNA", at positions 569 to 1098 of the family's 1831-position model. The record is from RNAcentral. Lineage: Eukaryota; Fungi; Glomeromycota; Glomeromycetes; Diversisporales; Gigasporaceae.
AGCAGCCGCGGUAAUUCCAGCUCCAAUAGCGUAUAUUAAAGUUGUUGCAGUUAAAAGCUCGUAGUUGAAUUUCGGGGUUCCACCGUUGGUCGGGCUAUUGUUUGUACUGGCGUGUGGAAUUUCUACCUUCUGGGGAACUAUCAUGUUAUUAAUUUAGCGUGGUAGGAAACCAGGACCUUUACCUUGAAAAAUUAGAGUGUUCAAAGCAGGCUUAUGUCUGAAUACAUUAGCAUGGAAUAAUAAAAUAGGACGGUGGUCCUGUUUUGUUGGUUUCUGAAUCACCGUAAUGAUUAAUAGGGAUAGUUGGGGGCAUUAGUAUUCAAUUGUCAGAGGUGAAAUUCUUGGAUUUAUUGAAGACUAACUACUGCGAAAGCAUUUGCCAGGAUGUUUUCAUUAAUCAAGAACGAAAGUUAGGGGAUCGAAGACGAUCAGAUACCGUCGUAGUCUUAACCAUAAACUAUGCCGGCUAGGGAUCGGACGAUGUUAAUUUUUCUUGACUCGUUCGGCGCCUUACGGAAAC